UACGUUCCCGGGCCUUGUACACACCGCCCGUCACACCACGAGAGUUUGUAACACCCGAAGUCGGUGAGGUAACCUUUUUGGAGCCAGCCGCCUAAGGUGGGAUAGAUGAUUGGGGUGAAGUCGUAACAAGGUAGCCGUAUCGGAAGGUGCGGCUGGAUCACCUCCUUU
Molecule: ribosomal RNA, 168 nt
Filed under: Enterococcus faecalis
Lineage: Bacteria; Bacillati; Bacillota; Bacilli; Lactobacillales; Enterococcaceae
Description: partial 16S ribosomal RNA
Rfam family: Bacterial small subunit ribosomal RNA
Source: RNAcentral